Molecule: ribosomal RNA, 449 nt
Filed under: uncultured Derxia sp.
Lineage: Bacteria; Pseudomonadati; Pseudomonadota; Betaproteobacteria; Burkholderiales; Alcaligenaceae
Description: bacterial SSU rRNA
Rfam family: Bacterial small subunit ribosomal RNA
Source: RNAcentral
GCGGUGGAUGAUGUGGAUUAAUUCGAUGCAACGCGAAAAACCUUACCUACGCUUGACAUGUCAGGAACCUCGAAGAGAUUUGAGGGUGCCCGAAAGGGAACCUGAACACAGGUGCUGCAUGGCUGUCGUCAGCUCGUGUCGUGAGAUGUUGGGUUAAGUCCCGCAACGAGCGCAACCCUUAUCAUUAGUUGCUACGCAAGGGCACUCUAAUGAGACUGCCGGUGACAAACCGGAGGAAGGUGGGGAUGACGUCAAGUCCUCAUGGCCCUUAUGCGUAGGGCUUCACACGUCAUACAAUGGUCGGUACAGAGGGUUGCCAACCCGCGAGGGGGAGCCAAUCCCACAAAGCCGAUCGUAGUCCGGAUUGCAGUCUGCAACUCGACUGCAUGAAGUCGGAAUCGCUAGUAAUCGCGGAUCAGCAUGUCGCGGUGAAUACGUUCCCGGGUCUU